Molecule: small RNA, 125 nt
Filed under: Marmota monax (woodchuck)
Lineage: Eukaryota; Metazoa; Chordata; Mammalia; Rodentia; Sciuridae
Source: RNAcentral
GCCAGGUACAGUAGCACAUGCCUGUAGUCCCAGCAACUUGGGAGGCUAAGGCAGGAGGAUCAUGUGUUCAAAGCCAGCCUCAGCAAUGGUGAGGUGCUAAGCAACUCAGUGAGAUCCUGUCUCUA